AAUUGAGAUCAUCAACCUUGUGCAACUAAACCACAACCAUCUUUGUCAAUGAGUCUUUCUGUAAAAUUCUUUAAGCAUUCUCAAGCCUCGUUCGAACCUUCUAUCCUAAAUGAUAAGUCAACGAACAUCGUCGAUCAAAUCCAUCAUCGAUGCGCGUAAGAAAAACAUCACAAAAAUUUAUAUCUCUAUUAUAUUUAGAAUAAAUUUAAUGUAAAAGAUCUAAAUCAUAUAUAAAAUACUUUACAUACGGUUUUAAAAUAUUAUAAAUAACAUAAUGUGUUAAGCAACACCCCAUUAGAAGAAAAAAUAAAGUAAAAUGUCAUAUGUAUUUAGUUCAAAUUUCAUAUAUAAUACAUUUUACUUUUUUUUUAUUUCUUAAAUCCUGAUUUCCAUAUAUAUAUAUAUCAUUCUAGACUGGAUAAUUGUAAUUAAUAACUUUAAAAUUAAUAUUUUUUUUAUCUUAUAUUAUAUCAAACAUUGACCAUAUAACAUCAAAAUUUAAUAUUUAGUAAAAAAUUAAACCAAAUAAAACAAGAACAUUAAAAUGAAUAUAUGAAAUUAAACAAAAAAAAAAACAUAUGCAAGAUCAGACUGGACACGAUCAACAACAAAAUUUGAUUAUGCUUUGCAGCUUUUUCUUAUGAAAGUAAAACAAACACAUAAUCUUAAGACGCACAUGAAAUACUCAUAUUAAAAGGUAAAUCCAAAAUACAAUUAAAUUUAAAUCCUUUUUUAAACACUUUAGAGGUUUAACUUUAGGUUCAACUCCAUUGGAUCGUUGGCAUCUGAAACUGUUGUUGGAGAAGACUCUAGUGGUGCAAGUGACAAAGUUGUUGAUGUUUGCCCAGAUGUUGAUGUUGUAUGUGCUUGUGGUCUUAGUGGUAUGUGUCUUGCUCCAUUAUUUUCUUCAGAAAUUGUGAUGGAUCCGAUAGGUAAAUUCAUGGACGAUAGCAAGUCCAGAGUCUCAUGAAAUUUAACCUCAAUAGGCGGUGAUGGCGCCGGAGGUGGGACUAAACCCAUCAUCAUCUCGUGAAAAUUGUGUGGUGGGGGAACUAACUCCAUCAUCAUCCCCCCAACAUUUGGUGAAAAGGGAAAUUCAUACGUUAGUUGAAUCAGCUCGAUCAGCUUCUCUCUUAUUGAUUUCAUCUGUAUGCUAUGAUUCAAUGCCAAACAAUGGUGAUAGUGAAUAUCUUCCUUAGAGUUGAAUUGAUUAUAACAAUAGGGGCAUAUGAAAGUUCCAAUACCACCAUUGUUUGCCAUUUUGUAAACGGGUGUGUAAGAUGAAAAAAAUAUCUAAUCUUAAUAGAUUGAUAUCUUUCAGAUAAACACAAAAGGAGAGAAUAUAUGAAGAAAAUUGCUAGGUAAAAUGUUAUAUUUAUAGUGUAGUUCCAAGUUCAAGAUGGGAUGGAUCUCAAAUUAUCUUUAUUUAAUUAUGAAUUUACGAGGAAACUUCUUUCUUUGUAAUAUUAGGAAAUAAGUGGAGGUAUAUCCACAUGAUUUGAAUUCUUUUAAAUAAAAUACUUUUUCCUGUCUAUAUACAUUGAACUCUUUUGAAAAGUAUUUUUAUUUUUUAUAAGAUCGUUUUUAAAUUACAAGAUACAUUAUCUAUCUUUUCGCAAAAAUACCCCUAUUAAAAAUCGAGAAUUCAAACACUAAUCUCAUAAUAAAUGAAAGAUAAUUUUCGAAAGUGAAUGUAUAUUAUUCAAAAAUUUAACAUACAACUAUUUUUGUUUAUUUCUCUGCAAUGACCAAUGUAAAUAAAUUUGUAAUGUUCUUUAAAAGAUAUAGAUGUAAAUACUUUGUAAGUGCUCUUUGAACCUUAAAAUGAUCCUUGUAUUGGACAUGGGCACCAUUCCCUCUUCCUAAAUUUACAUACAUAAAAAAAUGUCUUACAUUGAGAGAACAACGUAGUAUAUUUUAUGGACUGAAAACAAUAUCAACUCUUUUUGAUAUCCCCUUUCAUAUUUCCUAAAAAUAAAAUAAGUAUUUAAAUAAUCAAAUAUGUAAAGGUGGUUCGACAAAUCAUAUUACAUACAUUUUGUAUGACUCUUUUCUCAAGACGAUGGUACUUCGAGUGCUAGAAUUCUAUAAGAGAUUUGCAACCAAUUUUUUUAUAUGAAAAACUAUUAUUUAUACAUAGUGAAAAUAACUGUAAAAAGCUAACUGCCACGAACUGCACUUCUUCUAACGAAAACUGCAUGUCCCCCACGUCUUCAAUAAGAAAACUGAUGAUUUUUUAAUUCAAAUUAUUUCCCUUCGACAACAACUGCUUGGCUUUGACUAAGCUUUGACUAAUCUUCUUUCGGCGUUGACUAGGCUUUGCUGAAGAUAAUAAUUUUUACUCUUUGAAAGGACAAAAGUCAAAUCUCAUUGACUCUAUUAAAUGGGCCUGUCGAAAUUACAGGCUAACACACCUUUUGUGCGUCCGAAUUUAACCAUACACCACAAGGAAAGACGUUCAAGAUUGCGCUGACGCAAUUCUUCAUUCGAUAAAGUCGAUUGAUGUCUCUUUCAUUUCUUCUAUUGAAGGACACACAAUCAUGGUCCUUAAUUGAGAUCAUCAACCUUGUGCAACUAAACCACAACCAUCUUUGUCAAUGAGUCUUUCUGUAAAAUUCUUUAAGCAUUCUCAAGCCUCGUUCGAACCUUCUAUCCUAAAUGAUAAGUCAACGAACAUCGUCGAUCAAAUCCAUCAUCGAUGCGCGUAAGAAAAACAUCACAAAAAUUUAUGUCUCUAUUAUAUUUAGAAUAAAUUUAAUGUAAAAGAUCUAAAUCAUAUAUAAAAUACUUUACAUACGGUUUUAUAUUAGAAAGAAAAAAAUCAUAACAAAAAUUUGUAUACCCUUUGUAUAUUGUAUAAAUGGAUGAAUUGAUUGAUUUUGUGAUAAAAAUGAAAAUACUCUUAAAAAAGGAAUAAAGUUUGUCAAAUGUUUUAAAAUAUUAUAAAUAACAUAAUGUGUUAAGCAACACCCCAUUAGAAGAAAAAAUAAAGUAAAAUGUCAUAUGUAUUUAGUUCAAAUUUCAUAUAUAAUACAUUUUACUUUUUUUUUUUAUUCCUUAAAUCCUCAUUUCCAUAUAUAUAUAUAUAUAUAUAUAUAUCAUUCUAGACUGGAUAAUUGUAAUUAAUAACUUUAAAAUUAAUAUUUUUUUAUCUUAUAUUAUAUCAAACAUUGACCAUAUAACAUCAAAAUUUAAUAUUUAGUAAAAAAUUAAACCAAAUAAAACAAGAACAUUAAAAUGAAUAUAUGAAAUUAAACAAAAAAAAAAACAUAUGCAAGAUCAGACUGGACACGAUCAACAACAAAAUUUGAUUAUGCUUUGCAGCUUUUUCUUAUGAAAGUAAAACAAACACAUAAUCUUAAGACGCACAUGAAAUACUCAUAUUAAAAGGUAAAUCCAAAAUACAAUUAAAUUUAAAUCCUUUUUUAAACACUUUAGAGGUUUAACUUUAGGUUCAACUCCAUUGGAUCGUUGGCAUCUGAAACUGUUGUUGGAGAAGACUCGAGUGGUGCAAGUGACAAAGUUGUUGAUGUUUGCCCAGAUGUUGAUGUUGUAUGUGCUUGUGGUCUUAGUGGUAUGUGUCUUGCUCCAUUAUUUUCUUCAGAAAUUGUGAUGGAUCCGAUAGGUAAAUUCAUGGACGAUAGCAAGUCCAGAGUCUCAUGAAAUUUAACCUCAAUAGGCGGUGAUGGCGCCGGAGGUGGGACUAAACCCAUCAUCAUCUCGUGAAAAUUGUGUGGUGGGGGAACUAACUCCAUCAUCAUCCCCCCAACAUUUGGUGAAAAGGGAAAUUCAUACGUUAGUUGAAUCAGCUCGAUCAGCUUCUCUCUUAUUGAUUUCAUCUGUAUGCUAUGAUUCAAUGCCAAACAAUGGUGAUAGUGAAUAUCUUCCUUAGAGUUGAAUUGAUUAUAACAAUAGGGGCAUAUGAAAGUUCUAAUACCACCAUUGUUUGCCAUUUUGUAAACGGGUGUGUAAGAUGAAAAAAAUAUCUAAUCUUAAUAGAUUGAUAUCUUUCAGAUAAACACAAAAGGAGAGAAUAUAUGAAGAAAAUUGCUAGGUAAAAUGUUAUAUUUAUAGUGUAGUUCCAAGUUCAAGAUGGGAUGGAUCUCAAAUUAUCUUUAUUUAAUUAUGAAUUUACGAGGAAACUUCUUUCUUUGUAAUAUUAGGAAAUAAGUGGAGGUAUAUCCACAUGAUUUGAAUUCUUUUAAAUAAAAUACUUUUUCCUGUCUAUAUACAUUGAACUCUUUUGAAAAGUAUUUUUAUUUUUUAUAAGAUCGUUUUUAAAUUACAAGAUACAUUAUCUAUCUUUUCGCAAAAAUACCCCUAUUAAAAAUCGAGAAUUCAAACACUAAUCUCUUAAUAAAUGAAAGAUAAUUUUCGAAAGUGAAUGUAUAUUAUUCAAAAAUUUAACAUAGAACUAUUUUUGUUUAUUUCUCUGCAAUGACCAAUGUAAAUAAAUUUGUAAUGUUCUUUAAAAGAUAUAGAUGUAAAUACUUUGUAAGUGCUCUUUGAACCUUAAAAUGAUCCUUGUAUUGGACAUGGGCACCAUUCCCUCUUCCUAAAUUUACAUACAUAAAAAAAUGUCUUACAUUGAGAGAACAACGUAGUAUAUUUUAUGGACUGAAAACAAUAUCAACUCUUUUUGAUAUCCCCUUUCAUAUUUCCUAAAAAUAAAAUAAGUAUUUAAAUAAUCAAAUAUGUAAAGGUGGUUCGACAAAUCAUAUUACAUACAUUUUGUAUGACUCUUUUCUCAAGACGAUGGUACUUCGAGUGCUAGAAUUCUAUAAGAGAUUUGCAACCAAUUUUUUUAUAUGAAAAACUAUUAUUUAUACAUAGUGAAAAUAACUGUAAAAAGCUAACUGCCACGAACUGCACUUCUUCUAACGAAAACUGCAUGUCCCCCACGUCUUCAAUAAGAAAACUGAUGAUUUUUUAAGUCAAAUUAUUUCCCUUCGACAACAACUGCUUGGCUUUGACUAAGCUUUGACUAAUCUUCUUUCGGGGUUGACUAGGCUUUGCUGAAGAUAAUAAUUUUUACUCUUUGAAAGGACAAAAGUCAAAUCUCAUUGACUCUAUUAAAUGGGCCUGUCGAAAUUACAGGCUAACACACCUUUUGUGCGUCCAAAUUUAACCAUACACCACAAGGAAAGACGUUCAAGAUUGCGCUGACGCGAUUCUUCAUUCGAUAAAGUCGAUUGAUGUCUCUUUCAUUUCUUCUAUUGAAGGACACACAAUCAUGGUCCUUAAUUGAGAUCAUCAACCUUGUGCAACUAAACCACAACCAUCUUUGUCAAUGAGUCUUUCUGUAAAAUUCUUUAAGCAUUCUCAAGCCUCGUUCGAACCUUCUAUCCUUAAUGACAAGUCAAAGAACAUCGUCGAUCAAAUCCAUCAUCGAUGCGCGUAAGAAAAACAUCACAAAAAUUUAUGUCUCUAUUAUAUUUAGAAUAAAUUUAAUAUAAAAGAUCUAAAUCAUAAAUAAAAUAGUUUACAUACGGUUUUAUAUUAGAAAGAAAAAAAUCAUAACAAAAAUUUGUAUCCCCUUUGUAUAUUGUAUAAAUGGAUGAAUUGAUUGAUUUUGUGAUAAAAAUGAAAAUACUCUUAAAAAAGGAAUAAAGUUUGUCAAAUGUUUUAAAAUAUUAUAAAUAACAUAAUGUGUUAAGCAACACCCCAUUAGAAGAAAAAAUAAAGUAAAAUGUCAUAUGUAUUUAGUUCAAAUUUCAUAUAUAAUACAUUUUACUUUUUUUUUUAUUUCUUAAAUCCUGAUUUCCAUAUAUAUAUAUAUCAUUCUAGACUGGAUAAUUGUAAUUAAUAACUUUAAAAUUAAUAUUUUUUUUAUCUUAUAUUAUAUCAAACAUUGACCAUAUAACAUCAAAAUUUAAUAUUUAGUAAAAAAUUAAACCAAAUAAAACAAGAACAUUAAAAUGAAUAUAUGAAAUUAAACAAAAAAAAAAACAUAUGCAAGAUCAGACUGGACACGAUCAACAACAAAAUUUGAUUAUGCUUUGCAGCUUUUUCUUAUGAAAGUAAAACAAACACAUAAUCUUAAGACGCACAUGAAAUACUCAUAUUAAAAGGUAAAUCCAAAAUACAAUUAAAUUUAAAUCCUUUUUUAAACACUUUAGAGGUUUAACUUUAGGUUCAACUCCAUUGGAUCGUUGGCAUCUGAAACUGUUGUUGGAGAAGACUCGAGUGGUGCAAGUGACAAAGUUGUUGAUGUUUGCCCAGAUGUUGAUGUUGUAUGUGCUUGUGGUCUUAGUGGUAUGUGUCUUGCUCCAUUAUUUUCUUCAGAAAUUGUGAUGGAUCCGAUAGGUAAAUUCAUGGACGAUAGCAAGUCCAGAGUCUCAUGAAAUUUAACCUCAAUAGGCGGUGAUGGCGCCGGAGGUGGGACUAAACCCAUCAUCAUCUCGUGAAAAUUGUGUGGUGGGGGAACUAACUCCAUCAUCAUCCCCCCAACAUUUGGUGAAAAGGGAAAUUCAUACGUUAGUUGAAUCAGCUCGAUCAGCUUCUCUCUUAUUGAUUUCAUCUGUAUGCUAUGAUUCAAUGCCAAACAAUGGUGAUAGUGAAUAUCUUCCUUAGAGUUGAAUUGAUUAUAACAAUAGGGGCAUAUGAAAGUUCCAAUACCACCAUUGUUUGCCAUUUUGUAAACGGGUGUGUAAGAUGAAAAAAAUAUCUAAUCUUAAUAGAUUGAUAUCUUUCAGAUAAACACAAAAGGAGAGAAUAUAUGAAGAAAAUUGCUAGGUAAAAUGUUAUAUUUAUAGUGUAGUUUCAAGUUCAAGAUGGGAUGGAUCUCAAAUUAUCUUUAUUUAAUUAUGAAUUUACGAGGAAACUUCUUUCUUUGUAAUAUUAGGAAAUAAGUGGAGGUAUAUCCACAUGAUUUGAAUUCUUUUAAAUAAAAUACUUUUUCCUGUCUAUAUACAUUGAACUCUUUUGAAAAGUAUUUUUAUUUUUUAUAAGAUCGUUUUUAAAUUACAAGAUACAUUAUCUAUCUUUUCGCAAAAAUACCCCUAUUAAAAAUGGAGAAUUCAAACACUAAUCUCAUAAUAAAUGAAAGAUAAUUUUCGAAAGUGAAUGUAUAUUAUUCAAAAAUUUAACAUAGAACUAUUUUUGUUUAUUUCUCUGCAAUGACCAAUGUAAAUAAAUUUGUAAUGUUCUUUAAAAGAUAUAGAUGUAAAUACUUUGUAAGUGCUCUUUGAACCUUAAAAUGAUCCUUGUAUUGGACAUGGGCACCAUUCCCUCUUCCUAAAUUUACAUACAUAAAAAAAUGUCUUACAGUGAGAGAACAACGUAGUAUAUUUUAUGGACUGAAAACAAUAUCAACUCUUUUUGAUAUCCCCUUUCAUACUUCCUAAAAAUAAAAUAAGUAUUUAAAUAAUCAAAUAUGUAAAGGUGGUUCGACAAAUCAUAUUAAAUAUAUUUUGUAUGACUCUUUUCUCAAGACGAUGGUACUUCGAGUGCUAGAAUUCUAUGAGAGAUUUGCAACCAAUUUUUUAUAUGAAAAACUAUUAUUUAUACAUAGUGAAAAUAACUGUAAAAAGCUAACUGCCACGAAUUGCACUUCUUCUAACGAAAACUGCAUGUCCCCCACGUCUUCAAUAAGAAAACUGAUGAUUUUUUUAAUUCAAAUUAUUUCCCUUCGACAACAACUGCUUGGCUUUGACUAAGCUUUGACAAAUCUUCUUUCGGGGUUGACUAGGCUUUGCUGAAGAUAAUAAUUUUUACUCUUUGAAAGGACAAAAGUCAAAUCUCAUUGACUGUAUUAAAUGGGCCUGUCGAAAUUACAGGCUAACACACCUUUUGUGCGUCCGAAUUUAACCAUACACCACAAGGAAAGACGUUCAAGAUUGCGCUGACGCGAUUCUUCAUUCGAUAAAGUCGAUUGAUGUCUCUUUCAUUUCUUCUAUUGAAGGACACACAAUCAUGGUCCUUAAUUGAGAUCAUCAACCUUGUGCAACUAAACCACAACCAUCUUUGUCAAUGAGUCUUUCUGUAAAAUUCUUUAAGCAUUCUCAAGCCUCGUUCGAACCUUCUAUCCUUAAUGACAAGUCAAUGAACAUUGUCGAUCAAAUCCAUCAUCGAUGCGCGAAAGAAAAACAUCACAAAAAUUUAUGUCUCUAUUAUAUUUUGAAUAAAUUUAAUAUAAAAGAUCUAAAUCAUAAAUAAAAUAGUUUACAUACGGUUUUAUAUUUGAAAGAAAAAAAUCAUAACAAAAAUUUGUAUCCCCUUUGUAUAUUGUAUAAAUGGAUGAAUUGAUUGAUUUUGUGAUAAAAAUGAAAAUACUCUUAAAAAAGGAAUAAAGUUUGUCAAAUGUUUUAAAAUAUUAUAAAUAACAUAAUGUGUUAAGGAACACCCCAUUAGAAGAAAAAAUAAAGUAAAAUGUCAUAUGUAUUUAGUUCAAAUUUCAUAUAUAAUACAUUUUACUUUUUUUUUAUUUCUUAAAUCCUAAUUUCCAUAUAUAUAUCAUUCUAGACUGGAUAAUUGUAAUUAAUAACUUUAAAAUUAAUAUUUUUUUCUAUCUUAUAUUAUAUCAAACAUUGACGAUAUAACAUCAAAAUCGAAUAUUGAGUAAAAAAUUAAACCAAAUAAAAUAAGAACAUUAGAAUGAAUAUAUGAAAUUAAACAACAAAAAUACAUAUGGAAGAUCAGAUUGGACACGAUCAACAACAAAAUUUGAUUAUGCUUUGCAGCUUUUUCAUAUGAAAGUAAAACAAACAAAUAAUCUUAAGACGCACAUGAAAUACUCAUAUUAAAAGGUAAAUCCAAAAUACAAUUAAAUUUAAAUCCUUUUUUAAACACUUUAGAGGUUUAACUUUAGGUUCAACUCCAUUGGAUCGUUGGCAUCUGAAACUGUUGUUGGAGAAGACUCGAGUGGUGCAAGUGACAAAGUUGUUGAUGUUUGCCCAGAUGUUGAUGUUGUAUGUGCUUGUGGUCUUAGUGGUAUGUGUCUUGCUCCAUUAUUUUCUUCAGAAAUUGUGAUGGAUCCGAUAGGUAAAUUCAGGGACGAUAGCAAGUCCAGAGUCUCACGAAAUUUAACCUCAAUAGGCGGUGAUGGCGCCGGAGGUGGGACUAAACCCAUCAUCAUCUCGUGAAAAUUGUGUGGUGGGGAACUAACUCCAUCAUCAUCCCCCCAACAUUUGGUGAAAAGGGAAAUUCAUACGUUAGUUGAAUCAGCUCGAUCAGCUUCUCUCUUAUUGAUUCCAUCUGUAAGCUAUGAUUCAAUGCCAAACAAUGGUGAUAGUGAAUAUCUUCCUUAGAGUUGAAUUGAUUAUAACAAUAGGGGCAUAUGAAAGUUCCAAUAUCACCAUUGUUUGCCAUUUUGUAAACGGGUGUGUAAGAUGAAAAAAUAUCUAAUCUUAAUAGAUUGAUAUCUUUCAGAUAAACACAAAAGGAGAGAAUAUAUGAAGAAAAUUGCUAGGUAAAAUGUUAUAUUUAUAUUGUAGUUCCAAGUUCAAGAUGGGAUGGAUCUCAAAUUAUCUUUAUUUAAUUAUGAAUUUACGAGGAAACUUCUUUCUUUGUAAUAUUAGGAAAUAAGUGGAGGUAUAUCCACAUGAUUUGAAUUCUUUUAAAUAAAAUACUUUUUCCUUGUCUAUAUACAUUGAACUCUUUUGAAAAGUAUUUUUAUUUUUUAUAAGAUCGUUUUUAAAUUACAAGAUACAUUAUCUAUCUUUUCGCAAAAAUACCCCUAUUAAAAAUGGAGAAUUCAAACACUAAUCUCAUAAUAAAUGAAAGAUAAUUUUCGAAAGUGAAUGUAUAUUAUUCAAAAAUUUAACAUAGAACUAUUUUUGUUUAUUUCUCUGCAAUGAACAAUGUAAAUAAAUUUGUAAUGUUCUUUAAAAGAUAUAGAUGUAAAUACUUUGUAAGUGCUCUUUGAACCUUAAAAUGAUCCUUGUAUUGGACAUGGGCACCAUUCCCUCUACCUAAAUUUACAUACAUAAAAAAAUGUCUUACAUUGAGAGAACAACGUAGUAUAUUUUAUGGACUGAAAACAAUACCAACUCUUUUUGAUAUCCCCUUUCAUAUUUCCUAAAAAUAAAAUAAGUAUUUAAAUAAUCAAAUAUGUAAAGGUGGUUUGACAAAUCAUAUUACAUACAUUUUGUAUGACUCUUUUCUCUAGACGAUGGUACUUCGAGUGCUAGAAUUCUAUAAGAGAUUUGCAACCAAUUUUUUAUAUGAAAAACUAUUAUUUAUACAUAGUGAAAAUAACUGUAAAAAGCUAACUGCCACGAACUGCACUUCUUCUAACGAAAAUUGCAUGUCCCCCACGUCUUCAAUAAGAAAACUAAUGAUUUUUUAAUUCAAAUUAUUUCCCUUCGACAACAAUUGCUUGGCUUUGACUAAGCUUUGAUUAAUCUUCUUUCGGCGUUGACUAGGCUUUGCUGAAGAUAAUAUUUUUUACUCUUUGAAAGGACAAAAGUCAAAUCUCAUUGACUGUAUUAAAUGGGCCUGUCGAAAUUACAGGCUAACACACCUUUUGUGCGUCCGAAUUUAACCAUACACCACAAGGAAAGACGUUCAAGAUUGCUCUGACGCGAUUCUUCAUUCGAUAAAGUCGAUUGAUGUCUCUUUCAUUUCUUCUAUUGAAGGACACACAAUCAUGGUCCUUAAUUGAGAUCAUCAACCUUGUGCAACUAAACCACAACCAUCUUUGUCAAUGAGUCUUUCUGUAAAAUUCUUUAAGCAUUCUCAAGCCUCGUUCGAACCUUCUAUCCUUAAUGACAAGUCAACGAACAUCGUCGAUCAAAUCCAUCAUCGAUGCGCGUAAGGAAAACAUCACAAAAAUUUAUGUCUCUAUUACAUUUAGAAUUUUUUUUUGAUAGGCAAAAUAGAGAGGUUAGGCAUUAGGGAGAAGCUGAAACAUCCCAACUAGGUUGGCACGCAACAACACCUCCCAUCCUUUGUCGCCUCCCUAAUACGUAAUAAUAUUAUUAAAGAAAGGAAAAAUCUGUACAAAAGAGGGGGGACUAGGCCAAUACCCUCAAAAAAGGAAACGGAAAACAAAGCAGAAAAAAAAAAAGACUAGAAAUGGCUAAGAGAAUCUAAAAUUAGGAAGCCCAUUUCUGUCUCUAGUAAAAUCAUCUGACAAUGAAGCUGGCAUGGUUCAGAACCAAGUAGUAUCAGGCAUGUCAUGCCCCAAUGUAGCCAAAGCGUCUACACAACAGUUGCCUCCCAUAUAAAUAUGAGAACAUAUAAUCUUCAUUUAGAUGAUGGAAGAGGACCCUGAGAACGGGUUUGAUAACCAACCUUAUUCUUAUUCAAUUUUUUCUUCUGUGACUUAGAAAUCACUUGGGAAAAAGGUACAUCAGUCUCAGCCGCUCUAUUCAACCAAUCUUGCAUAAAAUUCAUUUCCUUCCGUAAUGUGGGAUCUAUAGUUGCACCAGGGGUUGCUGCUAUAGAACUAACAUCUAAAGGUUGGACGGGCGUUAAAAUUGGCUCAUGAUAAAUAGUUUCAGUGCGAACUAUAUCAUCUGUAACAUUAAAAAGCUGCAUACUGUAAGAAUUAGCAUUAGUGGGGAUUACCGUGUCUACCUCGGAAGGAGUUGUGGUGCCUGCAAUCUGGUCCGAAUUUUCAUCCACUAAGAUAUUCAUAUUUGUGCCAAUGUCAUGUUGUGGAGUGGUGUUUUCUUCAACAUGAAUCUGGUGUUGCGGCUCUGCAAUAUCUUUCUCAAGAAUAUUGUUGAUGCAAAUGUCAUGACUCGAGCCCGCCAAGGUGACCGUAAUAUCUUGCAGAAUGGUAAUAUCCGUAUCUGCCUGUUGCACUGUCUGAACUUGAGGAUCUAUUAGUUUAGGAGCUAGGACUGUGGCAGGAGCUGGGACUGCCUCCUUUUGUGGACUUGUGAACGCCAUAGAAGAUCCUAUGCCUAAAGGAUUAUCAGCGAUUGGAAUCCAUUGUUGCUUCUUGGUCGGAGCCGGCUUCUUACCCUGAGCCACCAUUUCUUUAUGCGCAUUACUUUCCUGGCGGGGAUAAAGCCAUCGACACACGGAAACAUCAUGACCAAUGUUUUGGCAGUGUGUACAAAAAUCCGGGAGCCACUCGUAUACGACCUCAAUAUUAAAUGCGUAUCCUUCCCUCUCAACAGUGAUUUUUCAUGAAAUAAUUUCCGUGAAAAAUCCAUAUCCACUAAAAUGCGAGCAUAGUGUCCAAAAAUGCGUUUGGUGGUCGCAUUAUCAAUAAGCAGUGGUGUGCCCACGGCACUAGCAAUUUCCCUGAGAGUCCUGUCCAUCCAAUACUCCUGUGGGAGUUCCAUCAAUCGAAUCCACACCUGGGUUUGUGUAUUACGUUGUUUAUGCAUGUUGAAAUCCUUGGUCCAUUCAAACAAUCGUAAAACCCCUGGCUUAAGGUUCACCGUUCCCAACGCCCAUACUAUGCGCAUGUCAUGUGCUGAUGCAAAAGUGAAUUCAUAAUACCCCCUUCCAAGUGGCCUCAUUCUCCACUCGGCUUGAAUUUUCCAUUGGUGUUGGAGCUUCAAUUGAAUGUCCCUGGUAGUGUAGGGUUUGUCGCCCUUAUUCAAGACCAACCUGCCCCUAAGGUUUCGCUUGCAGACUCCCAAACCUUUCUCGUACAUAUCUUGAGUAAUUUUGAUGCUAACAUAAUCCCCUCGAAUCAAUGGUUGCGGUAGGUUUUCAUUAGAGGAGACCGUUGAUGAUGCCGUUAGUGCCUGAACAAACGAAAUUUUGCUUGUUGUUUUCUGUGGAGGAGGCACCUUUGCAGCAGAUGCUAAAGGAGGAGCAACCGGAGCGGCCAGCUCGGCCUGCCAAUCAAACGGCAUGGCCACAACUGAAGAUGGAAACCGCAACCCCUAGUUACUGUAAUUACCAAAAUCACGUAAUAUUGUGCUUUCUCCCACCAAAACAAUUUAAAGAGGUGCAACACACGGACUUCCCAGGAGGUCACCCAUCCUAGUACUACUCUCGCCCAAGCACGCUUAACUGCGGAGUUCUGAUGGGAUCCGGUGCAUUAGUGCUGGUAUGAUCGCACCUUAUUAUAUUUAGAAUAAAUUUAAUAUAAAAGAUCUAAAUCAUAAAUAAAAUAGUUUACAUACGGUUUUAUAUUAGAAAGAAAAAAAUCAUAACAAAAAUUUGUAUCCCCUUUAUAUAUUGUAUAAAUGGAUGAAUUGAUUGAUUUUGUGAUAAAAAUGAAAAUACUCUUAAAAAAGGAAUAAAGUUUGUCAAAUGUUUUAAAAUAUUAUAAAUAACAUAAUGUGUUAAGCAACACCCCAUUAGAAGAAAAAAUAAAGUAAAAUGUCAUAUGUAUUUAGUUCAAAUUUCGAUUAUAAUACAUUUUACUUUUUUUUUAUUUCUUAAAUCCUAAUUUCCAUAUAUAUAUCAUUCUAGACUGGAUAAUUGUAAUUAAUAACUUUAAAAUUAAUAUUUUUUUUAUCUUAUAUUAUAUCAAACAUUGACGAUAUAACAUGAAAAUCGAAUAUUGAGUAAAAAAUUAAACCAAAUAAAAUAAGAACAUUAGAAUGAAUAUAUGAAAUUAAACAACAAAAAUACAUAUGCAAGAUUAGACUGGACACGAUCAACAACAAAAUUUGAUUAUGCUUUGCAGCUUUUUCUUAUGAAAGUAAAACAAACACAUAAUCUUAAGACGCACAUGAAAUACUCAUAUUAAAAGCUAAAUCCAAAAUACAAUUAAAUUUAAAUCCUUUUUUAAACACUUUAGAGGUUUAACUUUAGGUUCAACUCCAUUGGAUCGUUGGCAUCUGAAACUGUUGUUGGAGAAGACUCGAGUGGUGCAAGUGACAAAAUUGUUGAUGUUUGCCCAGAUGUUGAUGUUGUAUGUGCUUGUGGUCUUAGUGGUAUGUGUCUUGCUCCAUUAUUUUCUUCAUAAAUUGUGAUGGAUCCGAUAGGUAAAUUCAGGGACGAUAGCAAGUCCAGAGUCUCACGAAAUUUAACCUCAAUAGGCGGUGAUGGCGCAGGAGGUGGGACUAAACCCAUCAUCAUCUCGUGAAAAUGGUGUGGUGGGGGAACUAACUCCAUCAUCAUCCCCCCAACAUUUGGUGAAAAGGGAAAUUCAUACGUUAGUUGAAUCAGCUCGAUCAGCUUCUCUCUUAUUGAUUCCAUCUGUAAGCUAUGAUUCAAUGCCAAACAAUGGUGAUAGUGAAUAUCUUCCUUAGAGUUGAAUUGAUUAUAACAAUAGGGGCAUAUGAAAGUUCCAAUACCACCAUUGUUUGCCAUUUUGUAAACGGGUGUGUAAGAUGAAAAAAUAUCUAAUCUUAAUAGAUUGAUAUCUUUCAGAUAAACACAAAAGGAGAGAAUAUAUGAAGAAAAUUGCUAGCUAAAAUGUUAUAUUUAUAGUGUAGUUCCAAGUUCAAGAUGGGAUGGAUCUCAAAUUAUCUUUAUUUAAUUAUGAAUUUACGAGGAAACUUCUUUCUUUGUAAUAUUAGGAAAUAAGUGGAGGUAUAUCCACAUGAUUUGAAUUCUUUUAAAUAAAAUACUUUUUCCUGUCUAUAUACAUUGAACUCUUUUGAAAAGUAUUUUUAUUUUUUAUAAGAUCGUUUUUAAAUUACAAGAUACAUUAUCUAUCUUUUCGCAAAAAUACCCCUAUUAAAAAUCGAGAAUUCAAACACUAAUCUCAUAAUAAAUGAAAGAUAAUUUUCGAAAGUGAAUGUAUAUUAUUCAAAAAUUUAACAUAGAACUAUUUUUGUUUAUUUCUCUGCAAUGACCAAUGUAAAUAAAUUUGUAAUGUUCUUUAAAAGAUAUAGAUGUAAAUACUUUGUAAGUGCUCUUUGAACCUUAAAAUGAUCCUUGUAUUGGACAUGGGCACCAUUCCCUCUUCCUAAAUUUACAUACAUAAAAAAAUGUCUUACAGUGAGAGAACAACGUAGUAUAUUUUAUGGACUGAAAACAAUAUCAACUCUUUUUGAUAUCCCCUUUCAUACUUCCUAAAAAUAAAAUAAGUAUUUAAAUAAUCAAAUAUGUAAAGGUGGUUCGACAAAUCAUAUUACAUACAUUUUGUAAGACUCUUUUCUCUAGAUGAUGGUACUUCGAGUGCUAGAAUUCUAUAAGAGAUUUGCAACCAAUUUUUUAUAUGAAAAACUAUUAUUUAUACAUAGUGAAAAUAACUGCAAAAAGUUAACUGCCACGCACUGCACUUCUUCUAACGAAAACUGCAUGUCCCCCACGUCUUCAAUAAGAAAACUGAUGAUUUUUUAAUUCAAAUUAUUUCCCUUCGACAACAACUGCUUGGCUUUGACUAAGCUUUGACUAAUCUUCUUUCGGCGUUGACUAGGCUUUGCUGAAGAUAAUAAUUUUUACUCUUUGAAAGGACAAAAGUCAAAUCUCAUUGACUGUAUUAAAUGGGCCUGUCGAAAUUACAGGCUAACACACCUUUUGUGCGUCCGAAUUUAACCAUACACCACAAGGAAAGACGAUCAAGAUUGCUCUGACGCGAUUCUUCAUUCGAUAAAGUCGAUUGAUGUCUCUUUCAUUUCUUCUAUUGAAGGACACACAAUCAUGGUCCUUAAUUGAGAUCAUCAACCUUGUGCAACUAAACCACAACCAUCUUUGUCAAUGAGUCUUUCUGGUAAAAUUCUUUAAGCAUUCUCAAGCCUCGUUCGAACCUUCUAUCCUUAAUGACAAGUCAAUGAACAUUGUCGAUCAAAUCCAUCAUCGAUGCGCGAAAGAAAAACAUCACAAAAAUUUAUGUCUCUAUUAUAUUUAGAAUAAAUUUAAUAUAAAAGAUCUAAAUCAUAAAUAAAAUAGUUUACAUACGGUUUUAUAUUUGAAAGAAAAAAAUCAUAACAAAAAUUUGUAUCCCCUUUGUAUAUUGUAUAAAUGGAUGAAUUGAUUGAUUUUGUGAUAAAAAUGAAAAUACUCUUAAAAAAGGAAUAAAGUUUGUCAAAUGUUUUAAAAUAUUAUAAAUAACAGAAUGUGUUAAGCAACACCCCAUUAGAAGAAAAAAUAAAGUAAAAUGUCAUAUGUAUUUAGUUCAAAUUUCAUAUAUAAUACAUUUUACUUUUUUUUUAUUUCUUAAAUCCUAAUUUCCAUAUAUAUAUCAUUCUAGACUGGAUAAUUGUAAUUAAUAACUUUAAAAUUAAUAUUUUUUUUUAUCUUAUAUUAUAUCAAACAUUGACGAUAUAACAUCAAAAUCGAAUAUUGAGUAAAAAAUUAAACCAAAUAAAAUAAGAACAUUAGAAUGAAUAUAUGAAAUUAAACAACAAAAAUACAUAUGGAAGAUCAGACUGGACACGAUCAACAACAAAAUUUGAUUAUGCUUUGCAGCUUUUUCUUAUGAAAGUAAAACAAACACAUAAUCUUAAGACGCACAUGAAAUACUCAUAUUAAAAGGUAAAUCCAAAAUACAAUUAAAUUUAAAUCCUUUUUUAAACACUUUAGAGGUUUAACUUUAGGUUCAACUUCAUUGGAUCGUUGGCAUCUGAAACUGUUGUUGCAGAAGACUCGAGUGGUGCAAGUGACAAAGUUGUUGAUGUUUGCCCAGAUGUUGAUGUUGUAUGUGCUUGUGGUCUUAGUGGUAUGUGUCUUGCUCCAUUAUUUUCUUCAUAAAUUGUGAUGGAUCCGAUAGGUAAAUUCAGGGACGAUAGCAAGUCCAGAGUCUCACGAAAUUUAACCUCAAUAGGCGGUGAUGGCGCUGGAGGUGGGACUAAACCCAUCAUCAUCUCGUGAAAAUUGUGUGGUGGGGGAACUAACUCCAUCAUCAUCCCCCCAACAUUUGGUGAAAAGGGAAAUUCAUACGUUAGUUGAAUCAGCUCGAUCAGCUUCUCUCUUAUUGAUUCCAUCUGUAAGCUAUGAUUCAAUGCCAAACAAUGGUGAUAGUGAAUAUCUUCCUUAGAGUUGAAUUGAUUAUAACAAUAGGGGCAUAUGAAAGUUCCAAUACCACCAUUGUUUGCCAUUUUGUAAACGGGUGUGUAAGAUGAAAAAAUAUCUAAUCUUAAUAGAUUGAUAUCUUUCAGAUAAACACAAAAGGAGAGAAUAUAUGAAGAAAAUUGCUAGCUAAAAUGUUAUAUUUAUAGUGUAGUUCCAAGUUCAAGAUGGGAUGGAUCUCAAAUUAUCUUUAUUUAAUUAUGAAUUUACGAGGAAACUUCUUUCUUUGUAAUAUUAGGAAAUAAGUGGAGGUAUAUCCACAUGAUUUGAAUUCUUUUAAAUAAAAUACUUUUUCCUGUCUAUAUACAUUGAACUCUUUUGAAAAGUAUUUUUAUUUUUUAUAAGAUCGUUUUUAAAUUACAAGAUACAUUAUCUAUCUUUUCGCAAAAAUACCCCUAUUAAAAAUCGAGAAUUCAAACACUAAUCUCAUAAUAAAUGAAAGAUAAUUUUCGAAAGUGAAUGUAUAUUAUUCAAAAAUUUAACAUAGAACUAUUUUUGUUUAUUUCUCUGCAAUGACCAAUGUAAAUAAAUUUGUAAUGUUCUUUAAAAGAUAUAGAUGUAAAUACUUUGUAAGUGCUCUUUGAACCUUAAAAUGAUCCUUGUAUUGGACAUGGGCACCAUUCCCUCUUCCUAAAUUUACAUACAUAAAAAAAUGUCUUAUAGUGAGAGAACAACGUAGUAUAUUUUAUGGACUGAAAACAAUAUCAACUCUUUUUGAUAUCCCCUUUCAUACUUCCUAAAAAUAAAAUUAGUAUUUAAAUAAUCAAAUAUGUAAAGGUGGUUCGACAAAUCAUAUUACAUACAUUUUGUAUGACUCUUUUCUCUAGAUGAUGGUACUUCGAGUGCUAGAAUUCUAUAAGAGAUUUGCAACCAAUUUUUUAUAUGAAAAACUAUUAUUUAUACAUAGUGAAAAUAACUGCAAAAAGCUAACUGCCACGAACUGCACUUCUUCUAACGAAAACUGCAUGUCCCCCACGUCUUCAAUAAGAAAACUGAUGAUUUUUUAAUUCAAAUUAUUUCCCUUCGACAACAACUGCUUG
Molecule: long non-coding RNA, 17858 nt
Filed under: Medicago truncatula (barrel medic)
Lineage: Eukaryota; Viridiplantae; Streptophyta; Magnoliopsida; Fabales; Fabaceae
Description: lncRNA gene3070
Source: RNAcentral